This 301-nucleotide ribosomal RNA is filed under the name uncultured bacterium. RNAcentral's name for it is "partial 16S ribosomal RNA". It matches the Rfam family "Bacterial small subunit ribosomal RNA", at positions 510 to 808 of the family's 1533-position model. The record is from RNAcentral.
AGUAGCCGCGGUAAUACGGAGGGUGCAAGCGUUAUCCGGAUUCACUGGGUUUAAAGGGUGCGUAGGCGGAUCUGUAAGUCAGUGGUGAAAUCUCCAGGCUUAACCUGGAAACUGCCGUUGAUACUAUAGGUCUUGAAUUUUGUGGAGGUUAGCGGAAUAUGUCAUGUAGCGGUGAAAUGCAUAGAUAUGACAUAGAACACCAAUUGCGAAGGCAUCUGGCUACACAACUAUUGACGCUGAGGCACGAAAGCGUGGGGAUCAAACAGGAUUAGAUACCCCCGUAGUCCCUGUCUCUUAUACA